CUCGGAGGAGAGCUUGAGAAGAUAGUUCUGGGUGGCAGAAGAUUACGUCUCACAGCGAAAGAGAAAGGGAUUAUAGAAUUGCAAGCUUCUUUUGAGCAGAUGGUAGAGAAAGUUGAAUUGAAAAAAAUCCUUUUCCUUAUCUUCUAUUUUAUUUUUACGGAUCGGUUCUGGGGGUGACUAAGAAUUGGCUGACUGUCAAUUGCCCUCAAUCAUGGACCCACUAUCCAUGAUACCAGAUGGGUGACACUGAGAUGGUAACUCAUCCCACAAAGGCAAGGAGACAGGAAUGGAGCUGACAAUCAAUAAGAGUGCUCAGGUCCCCAACCUGACAAUUGGCUGACUCUAAACACAGACUCAACAAUUUGUGUCCCUUAGCAAGGAAAAGCCAGAGAGAACACUCUUUCUGCUGUCGGGGCUCAGGGCAGGCCACCCCAAGAUGUGCCACAGUGGCGUAUUGAUUAUUUUGAAUUAAAGUUACUUGAGAAACAGCUGGAGCAAAAAGAACACUCUGACCCUCCCGUCUCUGUCCCCUGAAAGCGGGAAAUAAAUCUCCUACGUGAACUCUUCCCUCCCUUCACCAGAAGGUAGAGGGACAUCCUCAUGGCCAGAGAGAGAAAAGUGGGACCAGGAAGGCUGUGUAAACCGCUCUGCUUAGAUUCUUCCCUAAUUAAGCACCCAAACCUACAUUUGUUUGCCUUGUCAAUUUCUCACAAAUCUAUUGUUUCUUUGUUUAAAAAGUACAAACGUUGUCUGCUUAGGUCUUUUUUUUUCAGGUCUCGUUUCUAUGAGACCUCCAUACAUACGAAUUAAAUUUGUUUUUUUUCUCCUGUCAAUCUGUCUUCUGUAAAUUUAAUUAUUAGACCCAGUCAAAAGAACUCAAGAGUAGUGGAGGGGAAAUUUCCCCUCCCUGACACUGUUUCCAAAGCCGAGCUCUCAGAGCACAAAAUAAUAACAAUUUAGGCAGCACGAUACAAAACUGGCGCAAAAGGCAGUGGCAGGGAUGAUGGCAGUAUCUGGGAGAGACUGAUCCAAAUCAAAGAGUCAUAAUGCCCAAAAUACUGGCUCUAACCAAAAAUUUUAUUCUGUAAAUAUAAUUUUAGGCAAUCUCUUUUUUUAAAAAAAGACAAAAAGAGGUUCUUACUGCCCUCACUCAACCAGACCCUGGGCAGUGAUCGGGGAGUCUGGUUGGCAAGAAAGCUGGCUCACUGGCUUGGUCAGAGCUGCCAUUAGCUGAGCUGCCAUCCAGCAGAGUCCCAACCAUUCCAUCGGUGUUUCCAAAGCCGUUGGGAGGAAAAUAUUUCCUCUACUCACUUAGGUCCAACUAGCUGGGGACCUGCAACUUAACUGGCAACAGACAGAUUAACAGGAGAAAAGUGUAUUGCUCUUGUGAAAGUACUUGGCAGAACGUAACUCACUGAAUAGUCAGAGGUAAAGGUUUAUAUGACAACUUAACAAGAAGGGGAGUGGCUUAGGACUUUAAUGUGAAAGUAUGGAAGAUUUAGUUGAUCUUUUUGAUGCUAAUGGGAGGCUGAACUUACACUUCCCAGUGUUAAGGGUCAGCAUCCUCCCAAAGAGGAGGAUCUCUUGGAGGAGGGUCAAUGGCACCUGUAUUUUUGGGGGGCUCUGCUUAAGUUUAGAUAAUGUGUCUGUGGCUGCUGAUCAUUUAGCUGUUUUCAGUUUAAUUUUCAUACCACUUUGGUGGGCUGUUAAUCUCUCCAUCCAAACACACUAGAAAGGUUUGGCUGAUGUACACUCCACCCUCUCUCUCCUGCCGCCUUCUAUAUUUGUGUGAUUAUUUUUGGUUCUUUUACUGAUUAGCCUUACUACUCUGAAUAAUGUGUUUAAUCAUCAAUUCUUGUCUGAGCAACUUUAAACUCCAUCCCUUUUUAUGAUUAAGACAGCAAGAAUCCUGCUCUUUCCUUUCUCCAUUUCGGCUCCCCACCUUCUGUCAGUUACACUUGAGUUUCCCAUCUUCAGAUUCCUCACAUUUACUUUCUCUCCUGUAAUCACAAUCACAGUUGAUUCUGAAAGUUAAGAACCAAUAAGUGGUUCUAAGUAGACGCUACAAAAUCUGGGCCAAGUGAUGUGAAUCCUUUGAAUGAUGAUGGACAUAUUUCCUCUCCAGAGAUCGCACUGUCAUUCAAAGAAGAAUGAUCCUAAAGCAGGAUAAAGUUUUUUUCUCAUACUUUAUUGUUGCUCCAAAUUAUGCCAUAAUUCGUUUUGUCUUUUUUUGGAUCAUGUUUGCAUUUAGAUUUUUUUCCUAAAGUUUCUAAUUACAGGUGGUCCCUGAUUUAACAACGGUUGGACUUAGGAUUUUUUGACUUUACGAUGGUGUGAAAGUGAUACACAUUUAGUAGAAAUCGUACUUUGAAUUCUGCUCUUUUCCCUGGCUGUCAACAUGCGGUAUGAUCCUCUCUCAUGAUGCUGGCAGCGGCAGCAGGCAGCUCCCAUCAGCCCCACGACUAUGAGGGUGAGAAUGUGAUGCACUUGCUACCACUCUGUCCCCAGACAGACACUCUGUUUGUCACUUUCAGUACAGUGUUCAAUAAAUUACAUGAGAUGUUCAACACUUUAUCAUAAAAUAGGCUUUGUUUUAGAUGAUUUUAGCCAAUUGUAGGCUAAGGUAAGUGUUCUGAGCACAUUUACGGUAGGCUGGGCUAAGCUAGGAUGUUUGCUAGGUUAGGGGUAUUAAAUGAAUUUUCAACUUAUGAUAUUUUCAACUUAAGAUGGGUUUAUUGGGUUGUAACCCCAACGUAAAUGAAGGAAGUUCUGAGCUUUUUACUUUAUCUUUCCUGUUUUUUGGGGGGCUAUUUCUUAAUGUUUUUCUAAGUUCUUGAUAAUAUUUUUUAUUAUAUUGAAUGUCCAUCCUCCCUUUCCUCUUUUAUGGCCUGGAGACCUCCCAAAACUUCCUAAGAACGGAUGCCUACGGUAUAAAACUUCUGAGUCCUUGCACGUCUUAAAUUACUUUUAUUAUCUCUUCACAGUUGGUCACUUAUUUCCUGGCUGGUAGAAUCUUAGAAUUAAAAUUACGUCCGUUAGAAAUUAACAGGCAUUGCUCAAUCAUCUUCUAGCCAACAGUGAUGCUAAAGAGAUUAAUGCUAGUCUGAUGUUUGUUUCUUUGUAGGUAAUUUCUUUUUCCUCAGUGGAAGUUCUUAGGAUGUUCUCUUUAUCACUGAUAUUCUACAAUUUUAUGAGAAUAGGUAUAGAUCUUUUUCAUUUAUUCAGUUGUACCCUAAGAAGGCCCCUUUAAACUGAAGAGUCCCUUUAUCUGGAG
Molecule: long non-coding RNA, 3274 nt
Organism: Equus caballus (horse)
Lineage: Eukaryota; Metazoa; Chordata; Mammalia; Perissodactyla; Equidae
Source: Ensembl